This 409-nucleotide ribosomal RNA is filed under the name uncultured bacterium. Its description in RNAcentral is "bacterial SSU rRNA". It matches the Rfam family "Bacterial small subunit ribosomal RNA", at positions 1088 to 1503 of the family's 1533-position model. The record is from RNAcentral.
CGCAACGAGCGCAACCUUUAUUGUUAGUUGCUACGCAAGAGCACUCUAGCGAGACUGCCGUUGACAAAACGGAGGAAGGUGGGGACGACGUCAAAUCAUCAUGCCCCUUAUGUCCUGGGCCACACACGUACUACAAUGGUGGUUAACAGAGGGAAGCAAUCCCGCGAGGAGGAGCAAAUCCCUAAAAGCCAUCCCAGUUCGGAUCGCAGGCUGCAACCCGCCUGCGUGAAGUUGGAAUCGCUAGUAAUCGCGGAUCAGCAUGCCGCGGUGAAUACGUUCCCGGGCCUUGUACACACCGCCCGUCACACCAUGAGAGUCGGGAACACCCGAAGUCCGUAGCCUAACCGCAAGGGGGGCGCGGCCGAAGGUGGGUUCGAUAAUUGGGGUGAAGUCGUAACAAGGUAGCCGU